Molecule: ribosomal RNA, 2740 nt
Filed under: Klebsiella aerogenes
Lineage: Bacteria; Pseudomonadati; Pseudomonadota; Gammaproteobacteria; Enterobacterales; Enterobacteriaceae
Description: bacterial LSU rRNA
Rfam family: Bacterial large subunit ribosomal RNA
Source: RNAcentral
AGCGUACACGGUGGAUGCCCUGGCAGUCAGAGGCGAUGAAGGACGUGCUAAUCUGCGAAAAGCGCCGGCGAGGUGAUAUGAACCUUUGACCCGGCGAUGUCCGAAUGGGGAAACCCAGUGCAAUCCGUUGCACUAUCGUUAACUGAAUACAUAGGUUAACGAGGCGAACCGGGGGAACUGAAACAUCUAAGUACCCCGAGGAAAAGAAAUCAACCGAGAUUCCCCCAGUAGCGGCGAGCGAACGGGGAGCAGCCCGGAGUCUGAAUCAGCUUGUGUGUUAGUGGAACGGUCUGGAAAGUCCGACGGUACAGGGUGAUAGUCCCGUACACGAAAGCACACUUGCUGUGAACUCGAAGAGUAGGGCGGGACACGUGGUAUCCUGUCUGAAUAUGGGGGGACCAUCCUCCAAGGCUAAAUACUCCUGACUGACCGAUAGUGAACCAGUACCGUGAGGGAAAGGCGAAAAGAACCCCGGCGAGGGGAGUGAAAAAGAACCUGAAACCGUGUACGUACAAGCAGUGGGAGCCUCUUUAUGGGGUGACUGCGUACCUUUUGUAUAAUGGGUCAGCGACUUAUAUUCUGUAGCAAGGUUAACCGUAUAGGGGAGCCGAAGGGAAACCGAGUCUUAACUGGGCGUUAAGUUGCAGGGUAUAGACCCGAAACCCGGUGAUCUAGCCAUGGGCAGGUUGAAGGUUGGGUAACACUAACUGGAGGACCGAACCGACUAAUGUUGAAAAAUUAGCGGAUGACCUGUGGCUGGGGGUGAAAGGCCAAUCAAACCGGGAGAUAGCUGGUUCUCCCCGAAAGCUAUUUAGGUAGCGCCUCGUGAACUCAUCUUCGGGGGUAGAGCACUGUUUCGGCUAGGGGGCCAUCCCGGCUUACCAACCCGAUGCAAACUACGAAUACCGAAGAAUGUUAUCACGGGAGACACACGGCGGGUGCUAACGUCCGUCGUGAAGAGGGAAACAACCCAGACCGCCAGCUAAGGUCCCAAAGUCAUGGUUAAGUGGGAAACGAUGUGGGAAGGCACAGACAGCCAGGAUGUUGGCUUAGAAGCAGCCAUCAUUUAAAGAAAGCGUAAUAGCUCACUGGUCGAGUCGGCCUGCGCGGAAGAUGUAACGGGGCUAAACCAUGCACCGAAGCUGCGGCAGCGACNNNNNNGAAGGUGUCCUGUGAGGGGUGCUGGAGGUAUCAGAAGUGCGAAUGCUGACAUAAGUAACGAUAAAGCGGGUGAAAAGCCCGCUCGCCGGAAGACCAAGGGUUCCUGUCCAACGUUAAUCGGGGCAGGGUGAGUCGACCCCUAAGGCGAGGCCGAAAGGCGUAGUCGAUGGGAAACAGGUUAAUAUUCCUGUACUUGGUGUUACUGCGAAGGGGGGACGGAGAAGGCUAUGUCAGCCGGGCGACGGUUGUCCCGGUUUAAGCAUGUAGGCGGAGGUUCCAGGUAAAUCCGGUACCUUGUUAACGCUGAGGUGUGAUGACGAGGCACUACGGUGCUGAAGUGAUAAAUGCCCUGCUUCCAGGAAAAGCCUCUAAGCAUCAGGUAACACGAAAUCGUACCCCAAACCGACACAGGUGGUCAGGUAGAGAAUACCAAGGCGCUUGAGAGAACUCGGGUGAAGGAACUAGGCAAAAUGGUGCCGUAACUUCGGGAGAAGGCACGCUGAUAUGUAGGUGAAGUCCCUGCGGACGGAGCUGAAAUCAGUCGAAGAUACCAGCUGGCUGCAACUGUUUAUUAAAAACACAGCACUGUGCAAACACGAAAGUGGACGUAUACGGUGUGACGCCUGCCCGGUGCCGGAAGGUUAAUUGAUGGGGUUAGCGGCAACGCGAAGCUCUUGAUCGAAGCCCCGGUAAACGGCGGCCGUAACUAUAACGGUCCUAAGGUAGCGAAAUUCCUUGUCGGGUAAGUUCCGACCUGCACGAAUGGCGUAAUGAUGGCCAGGCUGUCUCCACCCGAGACUCAGUGAAAUUGAACUCGCUGUGAAGAUGCAGUGUACCCGCGGCAAGACGGAAAGACCCCGUGAACCUUUACUAUAGCUUGACACUGAACACUGGUCCUUGAUGUGUAGGAUAGGUGGGAGGCUUUGAAGCGUGGACGCCAGUCUGCGUGGAGCCAACCUUGAAAUACCACCCUUUAAUGGCUGGUGUUCUAACGUAGACCCGUAAUCCGGGUUGCGGACAGUGUCUGGUGGGUAGUUUGACUGGGGCGGUCUCCUCCCAAAGAGUAACGGAGGAGCACGAAGGUUGGCUAAUCCUGGUCGGACAUCAGGAGGUUAGUGCAAUGGCAUAAGCCAGCUUGACUGCGAGCGUGACGGCGCGAGCAGGUGCGAAAGCAGGUCAUAGUGAUCCGGUGGUUCUGAAUGGAAGGGCCAUCGCUCAACGGAUAAAAGGUACUCCGGGGAUAACAGGCUGAUACCGCCCAAGAGUUCAUAUCGACGGCGGUGUUUGGCACCUCGAUGUCGGCUCAUCACAUCCUGGGGCUGAAGUAGGUCCCAAGGGUAUGGCUGUUCGCCAUUUAAAGUGGUACGCGAGCUGGGUUUAGAACGUCGUGAGACAGUUCGGUCCCUAUCUGCCGUGGGCGCUGGAGAAUUGAGGGGGGCUGCUCCUAGUACGAGAGGACCGGAGUGGACGCAUCACUGGUGUUCGGGUUGUCAUGCCAAUGGCACUGCCCGGUAGCUAAAUGCGGAAAAGAUAAGUGCUGAAAGCAUCUAAGCACGAAACUUGCCCCGAGAUGAGUUCU